CAUACCAUUUGCAAAAGUAGGUAACCCAAGGUAUUGCAAAUGGGGUAUGUCCAGGCUAUUUUAGUAGCCACUUAGUCACAAACACUGGCCAAAAUUAGCGUUCAAUUUCGUUUUUUGCAUUUUUCACACACAGACAAAUAUGAACGCUAAAUUUGACUAGUGUUUGUGACUAAGUGGCUACUAAAAAGAUUGGACAUACCCGAUUUCUAUUACCUUGGGUUGUCUACUUUUGCAAAUGGUAUG
Molecule: non-coding RNA, 243 nt
Organism: Pelobates cultripes (western spadefoot toad)
Lineage: Eukaryota; Metazoa; Chordata; Amphibia; Anura; Pelobatidae
Source: the annotation of a GenBank genome assembly